Molecule: small RNA, 34 nt
Filed under: Bombyx mori (domestic silkworm)
Lineage: Eukaryota; Metazoa; Arthropoda; Insecta; Lepidoptera; Bombycidae
Description: ovarian small RNA-14027
Source: RNAcentral
CCUGAAAUCAGUAAUAUGGUCUUUUGGUUCUCGC